This 237-nucleotide ribosomal RNA is filed under the name Triticum aestivum (bread wheat). RNAcentral describes it as "partial small subunit ribosomal RNA". The record is from RNAcentral. Lineage: Eukaryota; Viridiplantae; Streptophyta; Magnoliopsida; Poales; Poaceae.
AUGCACGGAGUGUGUUUCUAUGUGUUGCAACCGUCGUGGUCAUCAUCGUCGAUUUGUCAUGGUGAUCGUCGUCGUCGUCAUUGUUCGUUGCCGGGGACGUCCCCGGAAAGUACUCGGCGUCGACUAAGCCAACACUAUGCAUCCAUGGCUAAAUAUCAAGCUAGCUGCUUGCCCUCACACGCAACACUAAUCCACUCAGAUUGCACGAGCGAGUUCGGGAGUUAUGCCAGAACAUGA